GCUGGUGUUUAUAGCAGAGAUGUCACACCUGAUCCCAUUCCGAACUCAGAAGUUAAGCUCUCUAGCGGCGAUGGUAUUGCACGAGCAAUCGUGUGAGAGAGUAGCUCGAUGCCAGCU
This 117-nucleotide ribosomal RNA is filed under the name Bdellovibrionales bacterium RIFCSPHIGHO2_01_FULL_40_29. RNAcentral also lists the same sequence under 1 other name. The record is from RNAcentral. Lineage: Bacteria; Pseudomonadati; Bdellovibrionota; Bdellovibrionia; Bdellovibrionales.